RNA transcript from Homo sapiens (human), 5037 nucleotides. RefSeq lists it as uncharacterized. The record is from RefSeq and is a predicted model, not a curated record. The transcript is spliced from 4 exons. Lineage: Eukaryota; Metazoa; Chordata; Mammalia; Primates; Hominidae.
GCCAAGGCAGAAUGCUGUGAGAUGCAGCAGGACACUGUUGAAUUCAUGAUGCAUUGCUUAGUUCAGACUGUAAAUGUUCUCAUACUGUUGAAUGGGAACACUUAGCAGCAAACUCACAGAUUGUGGUCUGCAGGGGCCCCUGUGUCCCAUCAUCCCCUGCACCUCCUCAGGUAAUUGUGGGUGGAACGAUGUGGUCUCAGAAUUCUGGAGGAGCUGGUGGAGAGCACACCUCUUAGGACAGGCAGAGCUGCCUCCUAGAUCUGAUGACUUUUUAAGGACCCCUUCCUGUCCCCAGGCCUUGCUCCUUCCACUCAAGGAUUAAGUGAGGCCCACCACAACACCAUUGGGGUUGCAUGGCUGUCAACUGCAAGGCAGGAGGGGAAAGGUGUCAGAAAUGAAGAUGGCAUAUGGAAAGGCGAUUCUUAUACUCAGAAGGAAAAGUUCCCAUGGAAGCCAUGGAUUCAUUCAUGACAAAGAUCCCAGCCAUGUUGCCCUCAGUAGCCCUCCCUCCUUGGACUGUGACAGUUUCUCCAUCUUCUUUUGUUUACAUGACCUUGAUCGCUUUGAGGAGUACAGGGUGAGUAUUUUGUAGACUGUUCCUCAAUUUGGGCUUGUCAUAUUUUUUUUGUCAUGAUUAGACUGGCACUGUGGGCUUUGGGAAGGACACCCUACAGAUAAAGUGCUGAGCCCCACUUGAGUGAGAAAUCUCUAUGUCUUUGCUGCCUUUUCUUCUCUUCAUUUUCUCUUUCUCUCUUUUCUGAUUUUUCUCUCGCAAGUGGACUCACACUCUAAGUAAGCUGAAGGGAAAUAUGAUUGUUCUCUGGAGGGAAAUUAGAAUUUGGAACUGAAGAAAGCAUUUUGCUUGUGCCAACCUCCGUUAUACUUGACAUGCCAAAGACCACCACAGGGAUUUAACCUUGCUUAUUUCUCCCAGCUCUCACAUUUGCUGGCUCUAUAUUGACACAUGACAUGAAAUUGAGGGUUCCUUCAGUUCUAUGUUCAUUUCAAGUUGCAGGUGCUAACAUUUCAGCCACAUGCCCUGGGGGUCUUCUGCUUCUCUCCUCAGCAUGCCCAUGUCUCCAUCUCUGCACGCUCAUAUUGUGUCCUUUCUUUACAGCCCAGGUCACAUGCCACUGCUGUCCCUCCACAGCUAGGCUGGAGUCCAAGGUGGGAGUCAGGAUAGAUACACAGCUACAAAGGAAAGCACAAGUUGUGAGGGAUUCUGAAACAGGGCUCAGUACCUGGGCUAGUGGUUUGGCCUCUGGGUGGAAGCCCCCAUAAUUCAUUUCUAUCUCCAGGCCAUAGGUUCCAGCAGUUCUCAUGACCCAGGUUACCACACAUUGCUAGACAGGUGGGAGGCUCUAGCUGAACUGUCCUGAAUCCCCAGCCGCAGGCUGUCUGACCCACCCAGGCAGUGUUUCCUAGCUGGUAAGGAGAAACCUUUGAAAUAGGUGAUCCUUGAGUGUGUUAUAUAGGAACUGAUAAGUAAUUUCACCUUAAAACUAAAUGCUUUUGGGGGAAGACAAUAUUAUUGAAAUAAUUUAAGCUUCAUCUUUAAAAUUCUAAAUAAAAAUACUUUAGCUAAUGGUAAUUAACAUUCUGAAAUCAUAUUUCUUAAUUUUGAAGAUGGGUUCAAGAAGGGGGAAAAACCCAGAAAGAUGACUGGCAAAUUUCAAACUGAAUAUUUAAUUUUCACAUGAUUUAGGCUGAAAUGCUCUGCAAUCUAUAGGUUUGUGAAGGUUAAAAUUCAUCAGAGCACAUGGUUUCUUCAAGCGAAAUCACAACUGGGGGCUUAUGAAGGACGUCUUCAGUGGCACAUGCUUGUUGGGGGAAAAGCCUUGUUUAAAACAUAAGACAGAAAGUGAAACUGAUAUUCUUCAUGCAUUUCUUUGAGCUGCAGCCUGGUCUGGCAUUCACUGAAACCAAAUAUUGCUGCUGUUCUGCCUUUGCUAUAGCAGGACAAAUCAGAAAGUGCUCAAGAACAAUACGCAAAUUACAGGCAUUCAAAGACACUUGAUGUGGAUUCAGGCUGAGCCUUCUGGAGAACAUCCCCAAACUAUGUUUUCUGUGUUUCACAGAAACCACGGUUUCUCUUCCCCUUCCCCUAACUCCAGUUUCACCAAAGGCAGCAUGGUAUGACGAUAGAAGAAGUAUGGGUUUUAGGGGGUCACUGGCUGAGGUUCAAGUCUCAGCAACUUUGUUGCUAACUAUGGUAUCCUGAACAAGCUAUUUGGUUUCAGAGUCUCAAUUUCAUCUGGUGUAAAUAGGGCCAGGCUAGUUAUUCCCAAGCAUUUCAAAGUCAUUAUGAACAUUAACAGUAGUUACCAUUGGGAAAGCCUCUAGUAUAGCUGCUAGGAUAUGAAAGGUGUUAAGGAAGCAUCCUUUGACUUCUCUGCACUAUAGAUUUUUAUUAUUAUUAUUUAUGUAGUUGGUCUAUAAAGAAAGAGAAAAGUCUCCUAGAGCUUAUCAUGGAAAUAAGCCCUUGUCCAUUCCACUGGCUUACUCCACUGGCCUACUCCACUGACUAUGUAGGAUGGGUACUGAGAUGUCACAUGGCAAUAGGGUCCGUGCUUCUUUUGGUCCUGCCAGUCAGAACAUGGGGAGGUGAAAACUGCUGCAUAGAGGAGGCAGGGGACUUGAGGGUAGGAGAAAGCUACCCCACCACCCCCUUUUCUCACUGUAAGGACAUUUGAGCACUCUUUCCCCCACCAUUCUGCUCCAUGUGAACAUGUAUGUCCCACAUAUAUGUUUUGCUUGUUCAUGCCGAGUCAGCUGCAGCAAAGCACGAGUCUGCAAUUUAGUGUCAUUGUCAGGGCCUAACACAUGGAAUGAGUUUGAUAUUCACUUGUAGAAGAAGAGGAGAGAGCUGGGAAUGGAUUUGGAGAAGGACUGACCAGAGGAUGGAAGAAUAGUCAGAGCUUGGUUAUGGAAAUGCCUCCAUUGGCAGAGAAGGGGAGCCACUGGAUGGGCUUCUUAUGGUCACUGAGGUUUUAGGGAUGGUCUGAGGAUACUCCAGGCUUUUAGCACAGACCUGCAAGGCAGACUGCAGGGAGAACAGUACUUUAGAUCCACUAAAAAUAAUUCACCUUUAUAGAUUCUUUCAGCACUUCACCUUUACCUCUAAAUGCAUGAGAGGGGUUUCUGCCUUCUAUGGACCACAGUUCAAAGACCACACUACUUACUCAUAAGUCUGGCUCCCAAUAAGGGGCUCAAUUAUCAGACUUUCACUUCAUUUACCCCUACGCUCUACUGACCUCACAACUCUCUGGCCUCAUUGGGAUGCCCGAUCCGUUGAUCCUGACGCUUUCUUACUCUCUCGCCUUCCUUGUGGCUUCAAUCUUCUCCUGAUCAAGCUGUGGCUCCUUCAUCAGUGCCAUAUUCACUACUUUAAAAAGUUACUACCUCCCUUGUUUCCUUUCCCUCAUAUUACCCUUGUCCCUAAACUCCCAACCUGGUUAAACUCAGCCAUUUCCUUACACUGAGUUGUACCUGAGCAUCUCUAUACUACCAGAGGGAAAAAAAACAUCUUGUCAUAACUGGGCUGAUUGAAUGAUUGAACUCUCUUUAAACUAAUGACCACAAAUCUCAAAUUUCAUAUCUUCUCUUAUCUCCAGAAACCUCCAAAAAGCCUCACUUCAGACUGAUGAAUUUGCCUCACAUGAUACCAAGAAAUAGGUGUGUUACAGCUCCCAUGUAAACAAAACCCUUCAGUGUGCCCUGGAGAAACAGUCUAUCUGUAUAAAUGGCAUGUUAUCUUUACUAAUGUAUAAAUUAAAAUAGAGUUCCAUUCUACAUUUAAGCCCAAACUGAAAUAGCUCUAACGUCCACCACUAAGCUUUGUCAAUCAGGGAUGAAGUCUUCCUCAGAUCAUAUUGACUUUUCUCAGCAACAAUCUUCGACUGACAUCUGUGAAAUUAUUUUCUUUCAUCCCUUGUCUGAUGUCUUCAGAACCACCUGAUGGUAGCUCAGCACUAAUAGUGACCAUUGUGAGGACAUCAAUGUCUAUUCCAGGGAUGAUCUUGCCACAGUCUCUUAAACUCAUUAAUCUCUGGAGGUUAAAACACUCCGAUUCUCUGCAAGAGUUCAGGAGGGAAAGACGACCUCUGUGUCUCUGCAGCAUGAUGAUUGGCAAAAAUCCAAAAUGUCUGUGCACACUGCUGGUGAGGCUAUGGUAAAACAAUUACAUAUUUCUGGUUGGUGUGUCCUUGUGAAGUGAAAUUUGGCAGUAAGUAACAAAAUUACUCAUGCAUUUCCCACGGAUCAGCAUCUCCACUUGACAUAAAAUAAAUGCUAGAGAUACACAUCUACAGGUAUGAACUACAAGUUCUGUAGUAUACAAGGAUACAGUUAAUUUAUUCUGUUGUCUAUGAUGGCAUAAACAGCUUAAGUGCUUAUCAAUAGGGGACUGCUUGUAUAAAGUAGAUUUCAGAUUACAAUGGGCUACUAUAUAGGUAAAAAAAAAAAAAAAGAAUAAGUAGAAGAAUUCCAAUUAAUAAACGUAGGAGGAAUGAGGCAACUAGAACAUUUUCAUUAGAACAUCACAGUAAUAGUUGCUGCAAGCAAGAUCCACAGAUUAAUGCUACAAUUAGUGAGUGAAACAUUAACGAGAAACAGGAUAAUUGCAUAGCCUUGAGGUAUCUCAAUACAUUAAUCAUGUAUUAAUGAUUGUGGUGCUCACAGAUUGAGAAAUGUGCAUAACCUAGAUGAAGAAAACCUUGUGACAUCACAAAAGGACACUUGAACAAAUUAAAAUGUAUAUGAUACAAAAUUACAAAUAUGUCAAUUAAUCAUAAAUAGGAUUGCUAUGUCUUCUUGGUGGAUUGACCCUUUUAUCAUUACAUAAUGUACCUGGUAAUUUUCUUUGCUCUGAUGCUUACUUUACCUGAUACUAAUAUAGCAAUUCCUGCUUUUCUUUUGGAUUAAGAUUUGCAUGGUAUAUAUAUUUCCAUCCUUUUACUUUCAACCUACCUGUAUCAUUAUAUUUGAAGUGAGUUUAUUGUAAACAGCAUUUAGUUGGGUCAUGUUUUUCAAACUACU